AAGUGAGAUGAUGGAUACCAUCUUUCGGGACUGACUUGAAAUGGAGAGAGAUCUUAUUGCUGAUCACUU
Molecule: small nucleolar RNA, 69 nt
Filed under: Sphenodon punctatus (tuatara)
Lineage: Eukaryota; Metazoa; Chordata; Lepidosauria; Sphenodontia; Sphenodontidae
Description: Small nucleolar RNA SNORD2 (ENSSPUG00000014178.1)
Rfam family: Small nucleolar RNA SNORD2
Source: Rfam by way of RNAcentral